GACGAACGCUGGCGGCGUGCCUAAUACAUGCAAGUUGAGCGCUGAAGGUUGGUACUUGUACCAACUGGAUGAGCAGCGAACGGGUGAGUAACGCGUGGGGAAUCUGCCUUUGAGCGGGGGACAACAUUUGGAAACGAAUGCUAAUACCGCAUAAAAACUUUAAACACAAGUUUUAAGUUUGAAAGAUGCAAUUACAUCACUCAAAGAUGAUCCCGCGUUGUAUUAGCUAGUUGGUGAGGUAAAGGCUCACCAAGGCGAUGAUACAUAGCCGACCUGAGAGGGUGAUCGGCCACAUUGGGACUGAGACACGGCCCAAACUCCUACGGGAGGCAGCAGUAGGGAAUCUUCGGCAAUGGACGAAAGUCUGACCGAGCAACGCCGCGUGAGUGAAGAAGGGUGUCGGAUCGUAAAACUCUGUUGGUAGAGAAGAACGUUGGUGAGAGUGGAAAGCUCAUCAAGUGACGGUAACUACCCAGAAAGGGACGGCUAACUACGUG
RNAcentral lists this ribosomal RNA (497 nucleotides) under uncultured bacterium. RNAcentral's name for it is "partial 16S ribosomal RNA". It matches the Rfam family "Bacterial small subunit ribosomal RNA", at positions 28 to 507 of the family's 1533-position model. The record is from RNAcentral.